Molecule: ribosomal RNA, 253 nt
Filed under: uncultured bacterium
Lineage: Bacteria
Description: partial 16S ribosomal RNA
Rfam family: Bacterial small subunit ribosomal RNA
Source: RNAcentral
UACGAGGGGGGCGAGCGUUGUUCGGAAUUAUUGGGCGUAAAGGGUGCGUAGGCGGUUCCGCAAGUCCUGUGUGAAAUCUUCGGGCUCAACUCGAAGUCUGCACGGGAAACUGCGGGGCUUGAGUGUGGGAGAGGUGAGUGGAAUUCCCGGUGUAGCGGUGAAAUGCGUAGAUAUCAGGAGGAACACCAAUGGCGAAGGCAGCUCGCUGGGACGGUACUGACGCUGAGACGCGAAAGCGUGGGGAGCAAACAGG